Molecule: ribosomal RNA, 242 nt
Filed under: uncultured bacterium
Lineage: Bacteria
Description: partial 16S ribosomal RNA
Rfam family: Bacterial small subunit ribosomal RNA
Source: RNAcentral
GAGUAACACGUGACCAACCUGUCCCAGGGCGGGGGACAACCGGGGGAAACCCUGGCUAAUACCGCAUGAUGUCCGGACUUCUCAUGGAGACCGGAUCAAAGAGGGCCUCUGCUUGCAAGCUCUCACCCAGGGAGGGGGUCGCGACGUAUCAGCUAGUUGGUGGGGUAACGGCCUACCAAGGCUACGACGCGUAGCGGGUCUGAGAGGACGACCCGUCACAUUGGGACUGAGAUACGGCCCAG